CAAAGCAAUGUGUGCUGGAAUUUGACUCGGGUGAUGCUCUCAACAGCGGGUUUCGUAUGCUUUUCGCUUGUGACCUAAAAGCUGCCGUUUUGUCCGUGCGGAGGUAAAAUGAGCAGCACGGAGAUCCAGAAUUCGGGAGAGGAAUCCUGCUUUCGCCUGGAGCACCUACCGGGCAAGAGUCCGCGCCUAGCGGGCAAGGCGUCUCCGCAGGUGAACAACCGCUGGGAUGCGCCUGAAGUGACGGCCAACGGGGUCCUUGACAUUGAGGAUCGGAUUUUACGAAUCACCGGUUAUUACGGCUAUAACCCCGGAUACUCCAGCCACAGAAGAGAGGAGGGCUCAGAAUCACAUGCAGAGACUCCAGUCAGUGAAACAAGUGGAAAUGGCACUGCAUACCAGACCUGCGCCAACACAGUGCUCAAGGUGCUGGGGGGUUUGCUGGUGGUGCUGUGUGUCUCCUCGUCCUGGGUGGGCACCACACAGGUGGUCCAGCUCACGUUCAAAUCCUUUUCCUGUCCCUUUUUCAUCACAUGGUUCAGCACCAACUGGAACAUUCUCUUCUUCCCCCUCUACUAUUCUGGGCAUGUGGCCACCACCAGAGAAAAACGGACGCCCAUUCAGAAAUUCAGGGAAUGUAGUCGGUUGUUUGGGGAGGACGGAAUGUCUCUGAAGGUGUUUCUGAAGAGAACGGCGCCUUUCUCCAUCUUGUGGACGCUUACUAACUACCUGUACCUGUUAGCACUGAGAAAGCUAACCGCUACAGACGUCUCAGCGCUCUACUGCUGCCACAAGGCCUUUGUCUUCCUCUUGUCGUGGAUUGUCCUCAAGGAUCGCUUCAUGGGUGUGCGGAUUGUGGCUGCCAUUAUGGCUAUCACAGGCAUUGUGAUGAUGGCUUAUGCUGAUGGUUUUCAUGGGGAUUCCUUUAUGGGUGUGGCCUUAGCAGUCGGCUCCGCCUCCACUUCUGCUCUCUACAAGGUGCUGUUUAAGAUGUUCCUCGGCAGUGCUAAUCUGGGCGAGGCUGCUCAUUUCUUCUCCACCAUGGGCUUUUUCAAUCUCAUCUUUAUCUCCUGCGUUCCCCUCAUCCUGUACUUAACCAGAGUGGAGCAUUGGGGUUCCCUCUCCUCUUUGCCCUGGGGUUACCUCUGUGGGGUGGCCGGCCUUUGGCUAGUAUUUAACAUCCUGGUCAAUGUAGGAGUGGUGCUCACGUAUCCUAUUCUCAUAUCCAUUGGGACGUUACUCAGUGUUCCAGGCAAUGCAGCUAUCGAUGUGCUGAAGCAUGAGGUCAUCUUCAGCGUGGUGCGUCUGGCUGCCACCUGCAUCAUCUGCCUGGGCUUCCUGCUGCUGCUGCUCCCUGAGGAGUGGGAUACGGUCACCCUGCGCUUCCUCACCACCCUGGCCGACAAGAAGACGGAGGAGCACGGCGAGGAGCUCACAGAAUCCAGCGUCCACACACGCAGCCGCAGUAGAGCCAACGGAGCCGUAUCCAUCCCCAUGGCAUGACCUUUGACCUGUGAAUGAACAGCCAGCGAUCAACACUGAUCCUCCCUGUGGCAGCCGUUAAGGGAUCUAGCAUUCUCUUCCCUGAGAAGAUACGCAUCCAUUCCAUAGAAAUGGACUUUCAGACUUUCGUCUCCCGCUGCACGACAAACCCUGCACCCCUGAACCCCUCCGCUAGCCCCUUCCCAUGGAAUGUAUUCUGUGAAUAUAGACUCUGUCAGGGCCAGUUCGGCUCACUAUGUACACAUGAAUGCAUUCAGAGAUUGGAUAUAUAUGUAUAUGAUUAUUUGCAUUGUACGUAGUAGUAUAAUACAUG
Molecule: RNA transcript, 1813 nt
Organism: Sinocyclocheilus rhinocerous
Lineage: Eukaryota; Metazoa; Chordata; Actinopteri; Cypriniformes; Cyprinidae
Gene name: solute carrier family 35 member F4
Exons: 8
Source: RefSeq, a predicted model, not a curated record